AAGACCUUGCGCUUUUGGAGCGGCCGAUGCCUGAUUAGCUUGUUGGUAAGGUAAAAGCUUACCAAGGCUUCGAUCAGUAGCUGGUCUGAGAGGACGACCAGCCACACUGGGACUGAGACACGGCCCAGACUCCUACGGGAGGCAGCAGUGGGGAAUUUUGGACAAUGGGGGCAACCCUGAUCCAGCCAUGCCGCGUGAGUGAAGAAGGCCUUCGGGUUGUAAAGCUCUUUCAGCCGGAACGAAACGGUUACGGUUAAUACCCGUGAUUACUGACGGUACCGGAAGAAGAAGCACCGGCUAACUACGUGCCAGCAGCCGCGGUAAUACGUAGGGUGCAAGCGUUAAUCGGAAUUACUGGGCGUAAAACGUGCGCAGGUGGUUUUGUAAGUCAGAUGUGAAAUCCCCGGGCUUAACCUGGGAACU
Molecule: ribosomal RNA, 423 nt
Filed under: uncultured bacterium
Lineage: Bacteria
Description: bacterial SSU rRNA
Rfam family: Bacterial small subunit ribosomal RNA
Source: RNAcentral